RNAcentral lists this ribosomal RNA (463 nucleotides) under Haptophyta environmental samples. RNAcentral describes it as "SSU rRNA". It matches the Rfam family "Eukaryotic small subunit ribosomal RNA", at positions 432 to 900 of the family's 1831-position model. The record is from RNAcentral. Lineage: Eukaryota; Haptophyta.
GCGCGUAAAUUGCCCGAAUCCUGACACAGGGAGGUAGUGACCAGAAAUAACAAUACAGGGCCUUUUAGGUCUUGUAAUUGGAAUGAGUACAAUUUACAUCUCUUCACGAGGAUCAAUGGGAGGGCAAGUCUGGUGCCAGCAGCCGCGGUAUUUCCAGCUCCAAUAGCGUAUAUUAAAGUUGUUGCAGUUAAAACGCUCGUAGUCGGAUUUCGGGGCGGGCCGGCCGGUCUGCCGAUGGGUAUGCACUGGUUGGCGCGUCCUUCCUCCCGGAGACCGCGCCUACUCUUAACUGAGCGGGCGCGGGAGACGGGACGUUUACUUUAAAAAAAUCAGAGUGUUUCAAGCAGGCAGUCGCUCUUGCAUGGAUUAGCAUGGGAUAAUGAAAUAGGACUCUGGUGCUAUUUUGUUGGUUUCGAACACCGGAGUAAUGAUUAACAGGGACAGUCAGGGGCACUCGUAUUCC